Molecule: ribosomal RNA, 1486 nt
Filed under: uncultured Bordetella sp.
Lineage: Bacteria; Pseudomonadati; Pseudomonadota; Betaproteobacteria; Burkholderiales; Alcaligenaceae
Description: partial 16S-23S ribosomal RNA intergenic spacer
Rfam family: Bacterial small subunit ribosomal RNA
Source: RNAcentral
UAACAGAGAGUUCGAUCAUGGCUCGAUUGAACGCUGGCGGAUGCUUUACACAGUAAGCAAGUCGAACGGCAGCACGGACUUCGGUCUGGUGGCGAGUGGCGAACGGGUGAGUAAUGUAUCGGAACGUGCCUAGUAGCGGGGGAUAACUACGCGAAAGCGGGGUAGCUAAUACUGCAUACGUAAACCCUUCGGGGGAAAGCGGGGGGACCUUCGGCCUGCAAUUAUUAGAGCGGCCGAUAUCGGAUUAGCUAGUUGGUGGGGUAAACGGCCCACUGCUGGGCGACGAUCCGUGGCUGGACGGAGAGGGACGACCAGCCACUGGGACUGAGACACGGCCCAGACUCCUACGGGAGGCAGCAGGGAAUUUUGACAAUGGGGAAACCCUGAUCCAGCCAUCCCGCGUGUGCGAUGAAGGCCUUCAAGCCAAAAGCACCUUUGGCAGGAAAGAAACGGCACGGAUAACAUUCCUGCGCAACUGACGGUACCUGCAGAAUACACCGCCAACUGAGACGUGCCAGCAGCCAUGGUAAGGCCGCAGGGGCAAGCGUUAAUCGGAAUUUACUGGGCGGAAGCGCAGGCGGUUCGAAAGAAAGAUGUGAAAUCCCAGAGCUUAACUUUGAACUGCAUUUUUAACUACCGAGCUAGAGUGUGUCAGAGGGAGGUGGAAUUCCGCGUGUAGCAGUGAAAUGCGUAGAUAUGCGGAGGAACACCGAUGGCGAAGGCAGCCCUGGGAUAACACUGACGCUCAUGCACGAAAGCGUGGGGAGUGUAAACAGGAUUAGAUACCCUGGUAGUCCACGCCCUAAACGAUGUCAACUAUUGCUGGGGCCCGGGCCUUGGUAGCGCAGCUAACGUGGAAGUUGACCGCCUGGGGAGUACGGUCGCAAGAUUGAAAACUCAAAGGAAUUGACGGGGACCCGCACAAGCGGUGGAUGAUGUGGAUUAAUUGAUGCAACGCGAAAACCUUUACCUACCCUUGACAUGUCUGGAAUCCCGAAGAGAUUUGGGAGUGUCAGCAAGAGAACCGGAACACAGGUGCUGCAUGGCUGUCGUCAGCUCGUGUCGUGAGAUGUUGGGUUAAGUCCCCGCAACGAGCGCAACCUUUGUCAUUAUUGCUACGAAAGGGCACUCUAUCGAGAUCGCCGGUGACAAACUGAGGAAGGUGGAUGACGCCCAAGUCCUCAUGGUCUUAUGGGUAGGCUUCACACGUCAUACAAUGGUCGGGACAGAGGGUCGCCAACUCCGCGAGGGAGCCAAUCCCAGAAACCCGAUCGUAGUCUUGAUCGCAGUUCGUAACCUGACUGCGGAAGUCGGAACGCCAGUAAUCAUGGAUCAGCAUGUCGUGGUGAAUACGUUCCCGGGUCUUGUACACACCGCCCGUCACACCAUGGGGAGUGGGUUUUACCAGAAGUAGUUAGCCUAACCGUAAGGAGGGAAAGGAUGCCACCACGGUAGGAUUCAUGACUGGGGUAAUGUAACAAGGUAA